CGUAGGUGGCGAGCGUUGUCCGGAAUUACUGGGUGUAAAGGGCGUGUAGGCGGGGAGAUAAGUCAGAUGUGAAAUUCCAGGGCUCAACCCUGGCGCUGCAUCUGAAACUAUUUCUCUUGAGUGCUGGAGAGGAAAGCGGAAUUCCUAGUGUAGCGGUGAAAUGCGUAGAUAUUAGGAGGAACACCAGUGGCGAAGGCGGCUUUCUGGACAGUAACUGACGCUGAGGCGCGAAAGCGUGGGGAGCAAACAGGAUUAGAUACCCUGGUAGUCCACGCUGUAAACGAUGGAUACUAGGUGUAGGAGGUAUCGACCCCUUCUGUGACCGCAGUUGACACAUAAGUAUCCCACCUGGGGAGUACGGCCGACAAGGUUG
Molecule: ribosomal RNA, 373 nt
Filed under: uncultured organism
Description: bacterial SSU rRNA
Rfam family: Bacterial small subunit ribosomal RNA
Source: RNAcentral